This 442-nucleotide ribosomal RNA is filed under the name uncultured archaeon. RNAcentral describes it as "bacterial SSU rRNA". It matches the Rfam family "Archaeal small subunit ribosomal RNA", at positions 471 to 851 of the family's 1478-position model. The record is from RNAcentral.
UAAUACUCGAGCCCCGAGUGGUAUCCAUGAUUAAUUGGUCUAAAGCGUCCGUAGCCGGUUCGGUAAGUCCUCAGUGAAAUUUCACGGUAAACCGUGGAGCUUGCUGGGGAUACUGCUGGACUUGGGAUCGGGAGAGGAUAGAGGUACUCCUGGGGGAGGGGUAAAAUCCUAUAAUCCUGGGGGGACCGCCAGUGGCGAAGGCUUCUGUCUAGAACGAGUCCGACGGUGAGGGACGAAACCUAGGGGAGCGAUCGGGAUUAGAUAUUAUUUUCAGGAAUGAAAUUAACGCAAAAUGCAAAUUUCAAUAAUACCUGAAAUAACAAAUACCCCGGUAGUCCUAGGCGUAAACGAUGCCCGUUUGGUGUUGCAAACCUUUCGAGGGUUUGCAGUGCCGGAGCGUAGGUGUUAAACGGGCCACCUGGGGAGUAUGACCGCAAGGUUG